ACCUAUGUAACCUUCCUUUCUCCCUUCGUUGCGGAAUAUAAUAAUCAUCCCUCUAUAUUUAAGGCAAGACUAAUUUGAGAUUUAUUAACCAGCCUAUCAACCACGCUUCGUUUCGCUGAUUCGAGACGGGUUCGCUUCAUAGCUCGUUUUGCCUCCAUCAUCUCGCGGGCAGUAGCAGCCGGACAGCGGGCGUGGAGGGACGGAGGAACGGAGGAGAGAUGGAAGUAAGGAGCGGAGAGACGAAGAUGACGCAGUUUUCUGAAGGAUUUGCGUGUGAUGCAGUUCGUAGCGAGGCGAAUGGGUACAAAGCGAGACAGCAACACCUGCGCCCCCCCCCCCCUCCUUUACCCCUCCUGGUGACCAGGACAACACAUCCCUCACUAUAAAGUUGAAACUUAAGAAAACCAGGAGGACGACAAACUAUGCACUUUGGGUUGGUUGGAGAUCAUCGAGGUCUGUUUGGAAGGUUUUGGCCAGAUUCAGGGAAGCCAGGAUGUCCCUCGCUCACUUCCACUUCAUGCACAAGGUUCUUUGGUAUGUGUCUUUCAAUGAAUUGUCCUGGAAGGACUUGACACAACUAAAUCCACUGGCCCCGACAACAUUCUCGCCUUCAUCCUUAAAUUCUUUGCCCCAUCCUUCAUGCCAUAUUCACCCAAUCCCUAUCAUCCACUUCAUUACCCUCUGACUGGCUUUUGGCAAACAUUAAUCCAUUUUUUAAGACAGAUGAUCGGACUGACCAUGCCAAUUAUCACCCCAUCUCACUAACAUCGAUUCCAUGUAAAAUUUUCGAACACAAUGCACAAACACAUAAUGCACAAACACAUAAUGAAUCACUUUGACACAAACAACAUCCUUACUGACUCACAAUACAGCUUUCGACCCAAACACUCAUGUGAAUCGCAACUCAUUACUACAUUUCACGACAUUACGAGGCUACUUGACCGACGUGACAUCAAACGAGUUGACACUAUUAUUUUAGAUUUUGCCAAAGCCUUCGACAAAGUCCCCACACAAAAGACUGACAUUAAAAUUGAAAUACUACAGUAUUUCAGGACCUAUUCUCCACUGGAUCACUGCAUUUCUUACUAACCAGACUCAACUUGUUCUUCUUGACGGAUCUUCAUCUGACACUGUCUCUGUUUCUUUAGGUGUCCCACAACGCACUGUUCUAGGCCCCCUUCUUUUCCUCCUGUACAUUAACGAUCUUCCAUUCCCAACGCCUAACUCUUCCACUAGACUAUUUGCCGACGAUAGUUUGCUGCUUAGAGCAGUAAAGACUACCGACGACUGCAGACUGCUACAAAAAGAAUUGGAUGCUCUCCAGCGGUGGGAGUGCACCUGGCAAAUGCACUUCUGACCAGAUAAAUGCAAACUGUUAAGAUUCACCAGAGCUCACAACCCCAUCCAUCACAGUUAUGCACUCUUCAAAUUCAGAACUAAAAUCAGUCCACACACACAAGUAUCUUGGUGUCCACCUAUCCACUAACCUUAAGUUCAACACUCACAUAGACCACAUCAGUGCCACAGCCAACUGAACUCUGGGGUUCCUGAGGAGGAAUUUAUAUAACUGCACACCUGACAUUAAACACAUAGUUUGACACACUUGUGAGACCACUGGAAUACUGCUCCACGGUGUGGGAUCCUUACACACACAGAAACAUUGAUAGGUUAGAACAAAUCAACACCAAGGCGGCUAGGUUCAAACAAUUACACUCGAACACUUGGCAUCACAACACGGAUCAAACAAAUAAACAUGGAACCUAUUCACAUACAAGGACUGGAGGCUGCAGAACGCCUAACCUCAGACCUUGCUAUCAUUUCCAAUUGGGGUAAAAGAAACCUUGUGUCCUUCAAUGCCUCAAAAACCCAGUUUCUCCAAUUAUCAACUAGACACAAGCUUCCAAACACCUAUCCCCUAUUCUUCGACAACACCCAGCCGUCACCUUCUUCAACACUAAAUAUCCUCGGUCUAUCCUUAACUUAAAAUCUCAACUGAAAACUUCACAUCUCCUCUCUUACUAAAUCAGCUUCCUCGAGGUUGCGCGUUCUGUGUUGUCUCCGCCAGUUCUUCUCCCCUGCACAGAUGCUUUCCAUAUAUAGGGGCCUUGUCCGCCCUCAUAUGGAGUAUGCAUCUCACAUGUGGGGGGGGCUCCACUCAUACAGCUCUUCUGGACAGAGUGGAGUCUAGGGCUCUUCGUCUCAUCAGCUCUCCUCCUCUUAACUGACAGCCUUCUACCUCUCAUUCUGCCGCCAUGUUGCCUCUCUAUCUUCUAUCGAUAUUUUCAUGCUGACUGUUCUUCUGAACUUGCUAACUGCAUGCCUCCCGCGGCCCCGCUGCACAUGACUUUCUACACAUGCUCAUCCCUAUACUGUCCAAACCCCUUAUGCAAGAGUUAACCAGCAUCUCCAUUCUUCCAUCCCCUUCACUGGUAAACUCUGGAACAGUCUUCCUUCGUCUGUAUUUCCUCCUUCCUAUGACUUGACCUCUUUCAAGAAGUGUGUAUCAAGACACCUCUCCACCCAAAAUUGACAUCUCUUUUGGCUACUCUUUACUUUCUAAUUUUGUGGGAGCGGCGAAUAGCAGUCUUUUUUUUCAUACUCUUUCUGAUGCCCUUGAUCCGUUUCCAUUCAUGUAAAAAAUAUAAAAAAUAUAAUAAAAUUGUAAUGCCUAUGCUACAAGUUUUAAAUAAAGAGUACAAGUCAGUCACUUGUAGCACUCCAUUGUUAAACACACUCAUGGUGUUGCUGAUAAGUAGAGUUGUGUACCCUUAGCUACAUCAAUGACCUAGUAGGGAAAGCUGCUUAAGUCUCUACCAUUUGUUUUUCUUUGGGCCGGGAAUGAGUCAAGACUCAGAGGAAUGACACUCCCAUAAACAUACCCACCAAUGUGGUUGUUGAGUUUUAAAGUCACACAGGGCAGCUGUAAUAUUUUAGUCUUGCUGUUAUAAAAAGUUUGAGUAACAUUUUAAUACAGACUUAUAGCAUGAACAUUGCAUUGUCUCAGGUUCCAGAAGUGAGGGAAGAAGGCAUUAUCACAGUUCAGGCAUCUUGGGAAACUGACAUCAGAAAUUACGAUUCAAAUAAAUUUCAUUUUUGUGCCUUCCUUUUAGAUUGCAGUAGGUAAUAGUUGCCAGUUGAGGGGUUUCAUGGAGCUGCACUAGAUCAACUUAGCUACCUCAGUAAAGCUCUGGAUUUCUUCCAUUGAGGCAUGGGCCCAUCAGAAUAUGAUUGAACAGCAUUAAAUUUUAAUUAUUUUUUUUGUUUCAAGACAUGAUGGCAAUGGAGAUAUCGAGAAAGGUACAAGAAAGUAGCCUGCAGUGGUACCGCCAUGACAAAAGUCAUUGGGCAGGAGACUUCCGGAAACCAAAGUGGAGGUGGAUGGACUGUGUGAAGGAGGAGGAGAGCUGCCAGACAUUGACCUCACAUAGAAGUGGGGAAAAGUCCAGAUGAAGACCAUUCAGACAUGAAGGACUGCUGAGGGAGCCGAUAUGUUCUUCCUGAUGGCCGCGUCUACCCACAGAAGUGCCUGGAUGGACGGAUGCCUGAAGCACAGCAGUGGGGCAUUCCAGCUACCCAUCAAACGUCCUGUCUGUAACCGAGAAGUUGGCUUUUGUCUGGGAAAGUUCAAAUACACUUAUGAAACACUGAUAAUUAAA
Molecule: long non-coding RNA, 3656 nt
Organism: Eriocheir sinensis (Chinese mitten crab)
Lineage: Eukaryota; Metazoa; Arthropoda; Malacostraca; Decapoda; Varunidae
Exons: 4
Source: RefSeq, a predicted model, not a curated record